This 301-nucleotide ribosomal RNA is filed under the name uncultured bacterium. Its description in RNAcentral is "partial 16S ribosomal RNA". It matches the Rfam family "Bacterial small subunit ribosomal RNA", at positions 509 to 808 of the family's 1533-position model. The record is from RNAcentral.
CAGUCGCCGCGGUAAUACGUAGGGGGCGAGCGUUGUCCGAAGUUACUGGGCGUAAAGCGCGCGUAGGCGGCUUCUUAAGUCUGAGGUGAAAGGUUCAACGCUUAACGUGAACAGUGCCUUGGAUACUGGGGAGCUUGAGUAUGGGAGAGGGCAGUGGAAUGGCUGGUGUAGCGGUGAAAUGCGUAGAUAUCAGUCGGAACACCCAUGGCGAAGGCAGCUGCCUGGCCUAAUACUGACGCUGAGGUGCGAAAGCGUGGGGAGCGAACGGGAUUAGAUACCCCCGUAGUCCCUGUCUCUUAUA